Long non-coding RNA from Athene cunicularia (burrowing owl), 4473 nucleotides. RefSeq lists it as uncharacterized. NCBI's taxonomy places the organism in Eukaryota, Metazoa, Chordata, Aves, Strigiformes, Strigidae. The record is from RefSeq and is a predicted model, not a curated record. The transcript has 6 exons.
UAGAGGGCUUUCUUUGAUUUACUGAGGGCUGUGGAGACUCUCUACCCUCCCUCUGGUCCAGGCAGCUCAUGCCAGGUUAUGUAACAGGCAUAGUCAAACAGCAGAAGGGCUGUAGAAGCAUGCAUGUGUUGGCAGGGUCAGCUUUUAACACUGACCCCUGUGCUGGGACCCCUUGCAUGGCAUGUUAGUGUCAGACCCAGGCACAGAUCUCAAAUCCAGUCUGUUCACAUCACUGCUGCACUACAUGGAGAAACAGAUUUACUACCCAGGUACCCAUAAACAGGUUCCUCAGAGAUUUUCUGGGCUGUGUGAUUGAUUUGUUUUGUUUUGUUUUGUUUUUCCCCCGCCCAUACUUUCUAGCUUGGAGUCCUGUGCAGUAGAGUGGACUUACCUUGUUCAAUGACAACCCUGUGCUGUGUUCUUAGGAAGUGAAAGUGAAAAUCCAGCUGUCUUUAAAGAAGGGAGAGCCAGUGGUGUGCCUUUUUCUCUGGGAUCUAGGUGGCUUCUGUCUCCUCUGCAGGGCUCUGGAAGAGGAGCUGAGUGAACUGGGAGCUGGAAGGGCUGCUCAGACACAUGGAGAAGGGAAGCGAAGUGGCAAAGGGCUUCCUUGGACACAAACAACUUUUGAGGGAAAUGACUGAGAAAGGAUCCUGGUGAUCCUGCCCUGGGAUCGUGGAGGAUCUAGGGGAGCAUCCAAUGCUGCUGGAGCUGAGCACCCGGGGCAGAGUGAUGGAUUCUCCCUGCUUCACAUGGUUAUGCUUCCUGCUUCUGACCACUGCAGCCCCCCAUCCGAAUGUUGCCAUGCCCAGUGGUGACCUUGCUGAGCAAACACAAGGCUCUUCCUUUGGCAAAACAUCUGUGACAGUCUACCACUGUAAAGACUGUGAGAGCAAGAUAUGCAAAUUAUCUAAUUAUGAAGACUUUAUAAAAAUUGGUGAAACAGAAAAUGAGAAGUUUUCAAAUGAAAUAAUUCAGUUGGUGACCACUGCAACACACAUCAUUAUGUGUUUUGAGCAAGAAAAUACUCCUGCUGAAGGAGUUUAUGCCAUUGUCUGGGAAAAAGCCGUGGGAAUUGGAGACUCGUGUGGCAUCCUGAAUUCUGGAGCUUCCUCAGAAAAUAGGAGGAGUGACAUCAUUAUAGAGGAGAAUAAAAUUUGCUGUGAAGCAGAGAUAAACCUCUCAGUGCCCAACUCCCCUUUGAAGUGCUACACUAGAAUGUCAGAUGAAAAAUCAACAACUGACAUCACUGGUAAUGCUCAAUUUUCAAUCAGUAAAGAGAGCAGAGCCGGCAUCAUCGUCUUGGUACUGUUUCUUGGGGUUUGUGCAGCAGUAGCAGCAUAUCAUGUUCGACAGAUGAGAAAUCAUUGAGAUGCUCUACAUUGUAUGAGCCUUGCAAGCAGCACUGCUAUUAGAGAAAACAAAUGAGCUUCUGACAUGUAAAAACUUGCAUCUGUUUGAAGAACAUCUACAUAUGAGAAAACCAGGCCUGUGCCAGCAGCGUACUCCUCGGUAAUGACAUAGAGUAUUCAGCUGAGGAAACAGAGCUCAUUUUAUACGAGACCUCAUGGUAGUUUUCACAAAUGUACCUUCACCAAAUCUGUGCGUUCACUAAGGACUGUGAUUGCCACAGUUGUCCAGCUCCAGGCCUUGUGAGCAACACGAGAAGCUCCCUGGAUCUCCCAUCCGCUCCUGGUGCUUCACUGAGGACAGCAGCCAUCGCAAGAUGUGUGUCUCACUCAGCAGCACAGCUUUACAUCAGCUGAAUUCUCUCAACGGUUUUCAUGAUUGAAACUAUCAGUUCAUCUGAAAUUCUUCAGAGAGCUGUGUUCUUGCUCAGGAAAGAUGUGCCAAAUCCUGACAUCUUCCAUUUCAUAAUGCGAUAGCAUGCCCAUAGGUCUUUAUUUUUUUAAUUCCCAGGUGGACUCUAGACCUAAAAAAAAAAAAAGCAUUUUGUACCAAUGACUGAUUAGUUGAAUUAGGGGGUUUGGCCUUUUGAACAAAUAUUUGAUUGUGCAACCGCCUGCGUGUUGAGGACAUCUCCUCUGUGCGCUUCUGUGGAAUGGCUGGAAAACAGCAGACAUAUUAUGAGCGAUCCAGACUGAGUUGGCCUCACUAUAACAACAGUCUGUGGCUGUUGUAAAGAACACCUGCAAGGCCAAGGGGCUGAGAAACUGUGUGCGUAGCAAAAAUAUAAGGAAGCUGGACUGUGGAAAACAAGAUAUUUUCCUAGUAGGAAAGCGGCAUGUGGACACCGCACAAGGACCCAUCAUAGAGGGCAAAAGGGCGUGUGGACAAGUAGCUUCAGCCUAUUAGCAAUCAAGUACCUGCGUGUGUGCUUUAUGGUGGUCUAUAAAUUGCUGUGUAUACUUUAAUAAAGUGGCAUUAACUUGAUCACAUUGGUCGUAUAAGUUAUGUCUGGGACUUCUGCGUCGGCACGCUUCCUCCUGUGCAAGGGUGGACAGGAGGGCUAUACCCAGCUCCCUCAGGAAUGGCAUUGGGGCGUGGAGGCCACAGCUCCCUCCCAGGAACUAUGAUGUCAAUCUCCCUGAUAAAUUAGGACAUAAUACUGGCAAUUUUAGUGUGGGACACUUUCAACAGAAAUUCCAGUGGAUAGGAAAGCAUAUUGAUGUUCCUGUUCUGCUGCCUUAUCAGAAGACUACAGUAUUUCCGCAUCCAAAGACAAGUUUGGGUCUCCUGUAUGCAGACGGUGUGUAAUGAAUUCUGCACUGCAGGGAUCCCCAUUUAGUUGUUCACAGGCAGUAGGUCAUCUUCGAAUGAUUUAUCAUUCACGCUUGAUUUGAAUAAAUCCUCAAAUGUUUGCAUUAGACCUAAUCUAGUAUCAGGCUUUUGAGCAAAAAUCAGCAGCAGCACAGCUGGAAAAGCAGAUCCAUGAAACAGUAUGAGUACUUGAGUCAUUUUUACAUGGUUUAAUCACCCAUAAACCCGUAGCUGAAACUUCUAGCAGAAAAUCUCAAAGGAUGUAGAAUAUCAUGUGAAUCUUGAAAUUUGCUACAAUUAAACCUAAAGGAAAAGUUCAUAGUGAAAGACAUAAAAAAAAAAGUUAUUAAUUCAUUUUAGGAAUAGAGAAAUGCCUCUGUGCUUAAAUUUGGCUUGUUUGGCACAGGAGACUAGUGCUGUUACGGGUUGCGUUUUUUUCCUUCCCCAGUGGGGGCUUUGCACUCAUGCUGACCUAAGAUACCCUUUUAUCUCAACUCUCAGUUCAUUUGUUGGAUUUUACUUUUUCAGUUUUCAUGUGGAAAUACAGAGAAAACCUCAUGAAAAGAUGGCAAACCCCAGUUAUUCAAAUGCUUUUAAGUAUUUACUGAGUAUGUUAUUUUGACAAAUCCAACUGUGAACUCUAUCAUCAUGAAUAUUAUGCUUAUUCAAUAAGCAAAAACUAAGAUUAUCUGUGAAGAGUCCAGGCUGUGCAAGAAUUUAGAGACAGAAGGAAAAAGAUUUUUUCCUCUUUAUACAGCACCUCAGCACAGAGGCAGUUUCUGUUCGUUGGUUUUGGUGGUUUUUCCCCCAGAACAGGACUGCUGUAAGCUUUCACCAGAGUAGAGCUGUGUCUAAAAGGAGUGAGAAAGAAGAUUGUUUGAGAUAAAAGCCAUCUUUUUUAAAAGGAAAUAAUAUAUCUGCUGCUAUAGCCUGGGAAAGGAGCACUCAAAUCGGGUAUGGGCCUUUCACUUUUUGACCCCGCUGCAGCUGUCACGGGUGUUGCUUUUGGUUCUGUUUCCCUCCACUGCAAGUCUUUACUGUGGGUGCCUUUGAGGAAGUGCCAAGUGCUCCAUCUUAUGCAAUCAAGUUGUGUACUGUGUUUCUGGACAUUUCCAGUGAUGUGCACGUUAUUUCCCUAUACACAGAAAAAUAGUGUCUUAAAAUUGAAGGCCAUGGCAGUUCUUUUCUAUGGCCUUUUAAGGAGAAACUAGAUGUGUCUAUGUAUGUGUGUGGAAAAAUCUGUGUGUGUGUGUGUGUGUAUGGUGUUCAAAUCAAUGGCUGACACUGGGUGGCUUCAGUAUAAACUCAGGUUUAGUGUACUUUGGAAAAGGGACAAAGUGAUAUUUGAGAACUCGCAUUGUAUUAACUUGAGGGAUUCAGGCUUAAUGAUGUUUAGAUUCAAUUUCUACUCUUGAACACCAGCUGGUGCCAGAGUGCUGGACAUGUUUUGAGAAGAAACAUUAAAUAGACACCUCUACUCAGUGAAAGUUGCUGGGCUAAAUUAUUCACGAGAUGCAAAUCACAGACCAAUAUUUGUGGCUCACUUAAGCACACUUUCCUCUACAUCCCUUCUUUCUACUGAUGCAGAUUCUGAUAUUCAGAGGCAUCACUACCAAAUGUUUUACUUUGCCCCUCCUGAGCUGUGUGGUGCCGGUACACCAGUCAUUGCAGAUCUCACGGAAAACUGUUAUAAAUAGCUUUAAAGAUCUACAGUGUUUGUUCCAAGCAAAUGCAUUGUGGCCAUAAUUUUGUGGA